AUCAAGUGGCCUUACUAGGAUUACUCUUAAACUUACUCUGAUUGGCCCAUUUGUUUAUGUAUAUAUAUAUAUAUAUAUAUUUAUUUAUCAUCAAAGCCACACACAUACCACUUCUUCUAUGCUAUAUAUAUUGACUUUAGUCAUAGUCUGGUGUGAGAGACAUUGAUAGUAGGAGUAUUUUUGGUUCUUUCAUUCUUGGCUUUUCUCAGGAAACAACCAAAGGUGAGGUGGAAAAUCUUGUUGGGUUAAUACCUUACUUCAUGUUGGCCCCUCGUCUUUAUUGGAGGGCCCUCUUUUUGUGAUUGAAAGAGCCAAAAUGCUUUGUAUUUGUUGCUACUCUAGGGUUAGGCACAUGCUGAUGUGUGCUUAUCAGUAUCAUUUCUGAACAGUGUGGGUAAGGUCAAGUCAGGUUGUACUAUGCAGUUUCUUAUUUGUUAAUUGUACUUAGCAUUUGGAAUUUUCUUUAAUAUUCCAUAUCAAAGAAUAGUACCUUCCUAUAUGGUGUUACAUGAUAUUUCAUUAUUGCUAGCCUUUGGCCAUAUCAAAGAGGUAUCUUUUCUUUCUUUC
Non-coding RNA from Camellia sinensis, 567 nucleotides. NCBI's taxonomy places the organism in Eukaryota, Viridiplantae, Streptophyta, Magnoliopsida, Ericales, Theaceae. The record is from RefSeq and is a predicted model, not a curated record.